Molecule: ribosomal RNA, 482 nt
Filed under: uncultured bacterium
Lineage: Bacteria
Description: partial 16S ribosomal RNA
Rfam family: Bacterial small subunit ribosomal RNA
Source: RNAcentral
GACGAACGCUGGCGGCGUGCCUAACACAUGCAAGUCGAACGGAACUGUUUUGAAAGAUUUCUUCGGAAUGAAUUUGAUUUAGUUUAGUGGCGGACGGGUGAGUAACGCGUGAGUAACCUGCCUUCAGGAGGGGAAUAACAUUCUGAAAAGAAUGCUAAUACCGCAUGACAUAUCGGAACCACAUGGUUUUGAUAUCAAAGAUUUUAUCGCUUGAAGAUGGACUCGCGUCCGAUUAGUUAGUUGGUGAGGUAACGGCUCACCAAGACCGCGAUCGGUAGCCGGACUGAGAGGUUGAACGGCCACAUUGGGACUGAGACACGGCCCAGACUCCUACGGGAGGCAGCAGUGGGGGAUAUUGCGCAAUGGGGGCAACCCUGACGCAGCAACGCCGCGUGAAGGAUGAAGGUUUUCGGAUUGUAAACUUCUUUUAUUAAGGACGAAAAAUGACGGUACUUAAUGAAUAAGCUCCGGCUAACUACGUG